ACGCACGAAGUUGAAGAGCUUGCUCUUUGACCAAGUGAGUGGCGGACGGGUGAGUAACACGUGGGUAACCUGCCCAUUAGAGGGGGAUAACAUUCGGAAACGGAUGCUAAUACCGCAUAGUUUCAGGGAUCGCAUGAUUCUUGAAGGAAAGGUGGCUUCGGCUACCACUAAUGGAUGGACCCGCGGCGUAUUAGCUAGUUGGUGAGGUAAUGGCUCACCAAGGCAAUGAUACGUAGCCGACCUGAGAGGGUGAUCGGCCACACUGGGACUGAGACACGGCCCAGACUCCUACGGGAGGCAGCAGUAGGGAAUCUUCCGCAAUGGACGAAAGUCUGACGGAGCAACGCCGCGUGAGUGAAGAAGGUUUUCGGAUCGUAAAACUCUGUUGUUAAAGAAGAACAAGGAUGAGAGUAACUGCUCAUCCCCUGACGGUAUUUAACCAGAAAGCCACGGCUAACUACGUGCCAGCAGCCGCGGUAAU
This 481-nucleotide ribosomal RNA is filed under the name uncultured bacterium. RNAcentral's name for it is "bacterial SSU rRNA". It matches the Rfam family "Bacterial small subunit ribosomal RNA", at positions 59 to 524 of the family's 1533-position model. The record is from RNAcentral.